GGAAUUUUCCGCAAUGGGCGAAAGCCUGACGGAGCAACGCCGCGUGAGGGAUGAAGGCCUCUGGGCUGUAAACCUCUUUUAUCAAGGAAGAAGAUCUGACGGUACUUGAUGAAUAAGCCACGGCUAAUUCCGUGCCAGCAGCCGCGGUAAUACGGGAGUGGCAAGCGUUAUCCGGAAUUAUUGGGCGUAAAGCGUCCGCAGGCGGUCUGUCAAGUCUGCUGUUAAAGCGUGGAGCUUAACUCCAUUUCGGCAGUGGAAACUGACAGACUAGAGUGUGGUAGGGGCAGAGGGAAUUCCCGGUGUAGCGGUGAAAUGCGUAGAUAUCGGGAAGAACACCAGUGGCGAAGGCACUUUACUGGGCUAUUACUGACACUCAGAGACGAAAGCUAGGGUGGCAAAUGGGAUUAGAUACCCCAGUAGUC
This 422-nucleotide ribosomal RNA is filed under the name uncultured cyanobacterium. Its description in RNAcentral is "bacterial SSU rRNA". It matches the Rfam family "Bacterial small subunit ribosomal RNA", at positions 358 to 795 of the family's 1533-position model. Lineage: Bacteria; Bacillati; Cyanobacteriota. The record is from RNAcentral.